GUUUGAUCAUGGCUCAGAGUGAACGCUGGCGGCGUGGAUUAGGCAUGCAAGUCGAGCGAACCCGCAAGGGUUAGCGGCAAACGGGUUAGUAACACGUAAGUAAUCUUCCCCAAAGACGGACAUAGCAUCGUGAAAACGGUGGUAAUUUUCGAUAUGGUGCCGAUUGCAAAUGCAGUUGGUAUUAAAGGUAGGGACCUUCGGGCCUAUCACUUUGGGAUGAGCUUGCGUCCUAUCAGCUUGUUGGUGAGGUAAUGGCUCACCAAGGCUUAUGACGGGUAGCUGGUCUGAGAGGACGAUCAGCAACACUGGGACUGAGACACUGCCCAGACUCCUACGGGAGGCUGCAGUCGAGAAUCUUUAGCAAUGGACGAAAGUCUGACUAUGCGACGCCGCGUGAAGGAUGAAGGCCUUCGGGUUGUAAACUUCUUUUAUUAGGGAAGAAUAUUUUUAAGUUAAUAGCUUAAAAAUCGACGGUACCUAAUGAAUAAGCCACGGCCAACUCCGUGCCAGCAGCCGCGGUAAUACGGAGGUGGCGAGCGUUACUCGGAAUCAUUGGGUGUAAAGGGCAAGUAGGCGGCCAGUUAAGUGAGGGGUGAAAUCUUCCGACUCAAUCGGGAAACUGCCUUUCAAACUAGCUGGCUUGAGACUGGAAGAGGGAAAUGGAAUUAGCAGUGUAAGGGUGAAAUCUGUAGAUAUUGCUAAGAACACCAGCGGCGAAGGCGAUUUCCUGGUCCAGCUCUGACGCUAAACCGCGAAAGCUAGGGGAGCGAACAGAAUUAGAUACUCUGGUAGUCCUAGCCGUAAACGACGAGUACUAGGUGUCGGGAUUUAUUUUCCGGUGCCGCAGCUAACGCAUUAAGUACUCCACCUGGGGACUACGGCCGCAAGGCUAAAACUCAAAGGAAUUGACGGGGACCCGCACAAGCGGUGGAACAUGUGGUUUAAUUCGAUGCUACGCGAAGAACCUCACCUGGGCUUGACAUGCUCGUCAUAUCCCUAUGAAAGUAGGGAGUCGGUUCGGCCGGACGAUGCACAGGUGCUGCAUGGCUGUCGUCAGCUCGUGUCGUGAGAUGUUGGGUUAAGUCCCGCAACGAGCGCAACCAUUGCCCCAUGUUGCUAUUGGGCGCUUCAACUUCGGUUGAUUGCCUGAGCACUCUUGGGGGACUGCCCGGGAUAACCGGGAGGAAGGUGGAGAUGACGUCAAGUCAGUACGGCCCUUAUGCCCAGGGCUACACACGUGUUACAAUGGGCGGUACAAAGGGUUGCCAACCUGCAAAGGGGAGCUAAUCUCAAAAAGCCGUCCUCAGUUCGGAUAGGAGUCUGCAACUCGACUCCUUGAAGCCGGAAUCGCUAGUAAUGGAAGAUCAGCUCGCUUCCGUGAAUACGUUCCCGGGUCUUGUACACACCGCCCGUCAAGCGAUGGAAGCUAGGAGUACCCGAAGUCCUAUGUAGAUAGGCCGAAGGUAAAACUGGUGACUGGCGCUAAGUCGUAACAAGGUAACCGUAAA
Molecule: ribosomal RNA, 1508 nt
Filed under: uncultured bacterium
Lineage: Bacteria
Description: bacterial SSU rRNA
Rfam family: Bacterial small subunit ribosomal RNA
Source: RNAcentral